This 747-nucleotide ribosomal RNA is filed under the name uncultured bacterium. Its description in RNAcentral is "bacterial SSU rRNA". It matches the Rfam family "Bacterial small subunit ribosomal RNA", at positions 28 to 776 of the family's 1533-position model. The record is from RNAcentral.
GAUGAACGCUGGCGCCGUGCUUAACACAUGCAAGUCGAACGAAGCGCUUGAAUGGAAUUCUUCGGAAGGAAGCUCAAGUGACUGAGUGGCGGACGGGUGAGUAACGCGUGGGUAACCUGCCUCAUACAGGGGAUAACAGUUAGAAAUGACUGCUAAUACCGCAUAAGCACACGUGAUCGCAUGAUCGAGUGUGAAAAACUCCGGUGGUAUGAGAUGGACCCGCAUCUGAUUAGCUAGUUGGUGGGGUAACGGCCCACCAAGGCGACGAUCAGUAGCCGGCCUGAGAGGGUGAACGGCCACAUUGGGACUGAGACACGGCCCAAACUCCUACGGGAGGCAGCAGUGGGGAAUAUUGCACAAUGGGGGAAACCCUGAUGCAGCGACGCCGCGUGAAGGAUGAAGUAUUUCGGUAUGUAAACUUCUAUCAGCAGGGAAGAAAAUGACGGUACCUGACUAAGAAGCCCCGGCUAACUACGUGCCAGCAGCCGCGGUAAUACGUAGGGGGCAAGCGUUAUCCGGAUUUACUGGGUGUAAAGGGAGCGUAGACGGCAGUGCAAGUCUGAAGUGAAAGCCCGGGGCUCAACCCCGGGACUGCUUUGGAAACUGUGCAGCUAGAGUGUCGGAGAGGCAAGCGGAAUUCCUAGUGUAGCGGUGAAAUGCGUAGAUAUUAGGAGGAACACCAGUGGCGAAGGCGGCUUGCUGGACGAUGACUGACGUUGAGGCUCGAAAGCGUGGGGAGCAAACAGG